Long non-coding RNA from Papaver somniferum (opium poppy), 1334 nucleotides. RefSeq lists it as uncharacterized. The record is from RefSeq and is a predicted model, not a curated record. The transcript is spliced from 6 exons. Lineage: Eukaryota; Viridiplantae; Streptophyta; Magnoliopsida; Ranunculales; Papaveraceae.
CGUAUCAAGAAUGUCAACUCCUUCUUGUACCUGUGAUUUUACGAAAGGAUUUCUUGAUAAAGGCAUGGGUUACGGUUCCUAAAAUCUAUGCUUUUCUUCGACUAUUUUUUUUUUCAAAUCGAGAGUUUAAUUCAUGAUUUACUCAUCAUCAGAAUCAUUUUCAAAGAUUUCAUGUUUUAAAAUUCUUUCUAAAUCAUAUUAGGGUUCAUUUUUAACCUUGCCUGUAACUGUUUAAUCUUUCAUCCGAUGUUUAAUUUGGAUUUGGAUAUGUUAUUAAAGGAUCCCAAUCUCCAUACCCAUCUAAAAAUUUCCAAAAAAAAAUCGAUUCCAGUUUUGUCCUGAUUUUUCAUCUUCAUUCAUCUGCAAAAUAACUAUAGAUGAGGGAUGUAAAUGCUUGAAGUCAACUCUUGCAUGAGUUUUUUAAGUUAAAUCUUUGUUCUUUGAUCAAUUACCUUGAGUUCUCUAGGUUACAGGGCUAUUUCCUACAAGUUUUUUUUAUGUGGGUUUUCCAUUGCAUCAGCUUCUCCUCCUGUUAAGAUUGUUGGUGGGUUUAUAUCAAAUGCUCUCGCCCCUUUGUUGAAAUGGCUGUGGGGAUUGAAAGCUAGUACAAAAACAGGAAUUACUGGUAGGCCUAUGAUGAAGUUUGAGAAUGGAUAUACAGUUUAGACAGUAUUUGAUGGGAGUAAACUUGGGAUUGAACCUUAUUCUGUGGAGGUAUUACCUAACGGAGAACUUCUGAUUUUGGAUUCUGCUAAUAGUAACAUCUAUAAGAUCUCUCAGCCCUUGUCUCACUUCUUGUGGCGGCGGUGUCACGUCAGCUUCCAUCUUCUUUAUCAUAAGAAUGGGGAGUAUGAUGAAGGGGUUUCAGGGCGUUCACAAAAAGUUUGCAAGGCCGGGAGAGACGCAACUCCACUCCGAACUCUCAAGUGGUCAGAGCAUAAGGCGGUGACUGGAGACAAAGACAUACAUAUGUUUACAAGGCUCAGAGGAAUAGAAGAAAAACUUUUAGUGGAAGUGAUCGGACUUGGUAACAUGGAUUGAAUUAAACUAUUAUGGAAAUGUGCAGAUGAUGCCGAUGAUGAUAAGUUUUACAGGCAAGAUCAACAAAGGGGUAUCCACCAACAGGGUAAUCUCAUCUUAAUUUAGGAACAUUUUGUUUCAGUUAACACAAACUAGGUCACCCAUCCAUUUAUGAACGUCAACAUAGAACAUUGUAUGUCAGUCACAAAAAUUUGGGUCUUCAUGAUCAUCUUAGUAGGUUUACUGUGAUACUUGUAUACAUUUGUAUCUCCUACUCAUACUUUAAGUUCACUUUAAUUGAAGAAUCCUUUUUC